AGAGUUGAUCCUGGCUUAGGACGAACGCUGGCGGCGUGCCUAACACAUGCAAGUCGAGCGAGGAGAUCCUCGGGAUGAUCCUAGCGGCGGACGGGUGAGUAACACGUGGGCAACCUGCCUCAUAGAGAGGAAUAGCCUUCCGAAAGGGAGAUUAAUACCUCAUAACAUUGCAGUUUCGCAUGGAACAGCAAUUAAAGGAGUAAUCCGCUAUGAGAUGGGCCCGCGGCGCAUUAGCUAGUUGGUGAGGUAACGGCUCACCAAGGCGACGAUGCGUAGCCGACCUGAGAGGGUGAUCGGCCACAUUGGGACUGAGACACGGCCCAGACUCCUACGGGAGGCAGCAGUGGGGAAUAUUGCACAAUGGGGGAAACCCUGAUGCAGCCAACGCCGCGUGAGUGAUGACGGCCUUCGGGUUGUAAAGCUCUGUCUUCAGGGACGAUAAUGACGGUACCUGAGGAGGAAGCCACGGCUAACUACGUGCCAGCAGCUGC
This 491-nucleotide ribosomal RNA is filed under the name uncultured bacterium. RNAcentral describes it as "bacterial SSU rRNA". It matches the Rfam family "Bacterial small subunit ribosomal RNA", at positions 8 to 518 of the family's 1533-position model. The record is from RNAcentral.